AUUGCCCCAGUAACGGCGAGUGAAGCGGCAACAGCUCAAAUUUGAAAUCUGGCCCGUUUUUGAGGCCCGAGUUGUAAUUUGUAGAGGAUGCUUCGGGCAAGGUGGCGGUCUAAUUCGCUUGGAAUAGUGAGUCACAGAGGGUGAGAGCCCCGUCUGGGAUCGUCUGCCGCGCCCGGGUGAAGCUCCUUCGACGAGUCGAGUUGUUUGGGAAUGCAGCUCUAAAUGGGUGGUAAAUUUCAUCUAAAGCUAAAUACCGGCCAGAGACCGAUAGCGCACAAGUAGAGUGAUCGAAAGAUGAAAAGCACUUUGAAAAGAGAGUUAAACAGUAUGUGAAAUUGUUGAAAGGGAAGCGCUUGCCAUCAGACUUGUGGGGGGCGGUUCCCCCGAUCGUCUGAUCGGGCUAUUCUACCUCCCUCGGGCCAGCAUCGGUUCGGGCGGCCGGUGAAAGACCCCGGGAAUGUAUCUACCCCUCGGGUCGACUUAUAGCCUGGGGUGCAAUGCGGCCCGCCUGGAUCGAGGAACGCGCUUCGGCUCGGAUGCUGGCGUAAUGGUGGCAAGCGGCCCGUCUUGAAACACGGACCAAGGAGUCUAACAUCUGUGCGAGUGUUUGGGUGUCAAACCCGGGCGCGGAAUGAAAGUGAACGGAGGUAAGAACCUCCUUGCGGGGUGCAUUAUCGACCGAUCCUGAAGUCUUCGGAUGGAUUUGAGUAA
This 711-nucleotide ribosomal RNA is filed under the name Hydropunctaria sp. RNAcentral's name for it is "partial large subunit ribosomal RNA". It matches the Rfam family "Eukaryotic large subunit ribosomal RNA", at positions 74 to 797 of the family's 3401-position model. The record is from RNAcentral. Lineage: Eukaryota; Fungi; Ascomycota; Eurotiomycetes; Verrucariales; Verrucariaceae.